Molecule: ribosomal RNA, 253 nt
Filed under: uncultured bacterium
Lineage: Bacteria
Description: partial 16S ribosomal RNA
Rfam family: Bacterial small subunit ribosomal RNA
Source: RNAcentral
UACGGCGGGUGCAAGCGUUAUCCGGAUUCACUGGGUUUAAAGGGUGCGUAGGUGGGCUGGUAAGUCAGUGGUGAAAUCUCCAGGCUUAACUUGGAAACUGCCAUUGAUACUAUCAGUCUUGAAUACCGUGGAGGUCAGCGGAAUAUGUCAUGUAGCGGUGAAAUGCUUAGAUAUGACAUAGAACACCAAUUGCGAAGGCAGCUGGCUACACGAAUAUUGACACUGAUGCACGAAAGCGUGGGGAUCAAACAGG